This 773-nucleotide long non-coding RNA is filed under the name Homo sapiens (human). RNAcentral's name for it is "HSALNT0275965". The record is from RNAcentral. Lineage: Eukaryota; Metazoa; Chordata; Mammalia; Primates; Hominidae.
GUAAUAAUACAAAUUCCUGGUUUCUGAUUACUUUCAUGAAAUGCUCAAUAGUAUAAUUGUGAGCCACUUUAUGCAAAUCUGUACAACCUUAGGCAUCAGCAAAAGAACAAAUUCCAAGACAGCUGGAUGGGUGAAGCUGUUUCAUUAAAAACUUAUGACAUGUGUGCUGGGAUUACAGGUGUGAGCCCCGCACCCAGCCUGUUGAAUAUAAAAAUGCUCCAGGAAUAAAUGCUUGGUGCCACAAAGUGAAACCAGCACUCAGGCAAAAGUUUUCACAGCAAGGCAAUUUACUUCUGCAGAAGGGUGCCACUCCCGUCAAUCAAGAUCGCAAGAGCACACCAAACAAAGGGGAGCAGGGGGUUUUUAUCUCUGAUGCAUAGUCCUUACCUCUGUGUCACUCCCCCAUGGGCUGGGGUUGGACUGCACAAUCUGAGCUGAUCCAAUUAGCUACUUGCAAAUAUUGUUCUAAAUAUGGAAGGGAAAGUGUACGUGAGGUACAGUGGUGAAGCAUGUAAGACAUGCAGUUUUGGGGGAACAACGCGUACAGAUAACCAAGGGAAAGGAUGUGAGUUAUUGAUUAGAGCUGGUGGGAAGGGGGUAAGCUGUUUUACAGUAACUAGGGGCAAGGAGGAACAGGAAAGUUAAGUUUGAGAACAAAGGACAAGGAAGUUAGCAGGCUAAAUCUUUGAAGAGAAACUCAGAGAAAUUCAUUGUAUCUUACACAGCCUAAUGUCCUUUUUAUGUCUAAAUUUUUACAUUUCACUUGAGCUGAG